Non-coding RNA from Plectropomus leopardus (leopard coralgrouper), 756 nucleotides. Lineage: Eukaryota; Metazoa; Chordata; Actinopteri; Perciformes; Serranidae. The record is from RefSeq and is a predicted model, not a curated record.
UCCACAGCUCCCACGGAGCCUCUGACCCGCUGGUAUCAGGUCAGAUGUUUGCUGCAGACGCCGCUGUACGCUAAGUUGGGACAAACUCUGUCUGGGACUGUCCUGCUGGAGGCUAACAGCAGGCAGAGCUAUGACAUCCAGAUCACAGCCACAGUCGACCAAUCAGGCUUCAGAUCUGGAAAUGUGCUGGACCUCAAGAACCCUUUCUUUAGGAUAGGGUCUUGGUAGAGAGCUCCGGACUGUCGAUGAGCAGGAGGUCCAGGAGGUCCAGGAGGUCCAGGGAGGAUGCACCGUGAGGAGAGCACAGGUGAAGCUUUCCCCAAAAAUUCCAAGAAAAUGGAACAUCGGAAGGAAUCGUCGGAUACGGCACUUCCGCACGCUUCGACUUCUCAUAUUUCGUCAGCGACCUUUUAUAUAAUCGUGAUGGUUUUUAAUACAGUGCGAGCUGAGGGUUGAAAAGUCAGCUUUUCAAACAUUGGUUUUCAGCUUCGCCUCUUCCGUGCAGAAAUUUCUCCAGAUUUUCUGUUUUUGUUUUGCGAAAUGCAGAAAUUCCUUAAAAAUGUGCAUUAAUAAAUAAAAUAAACCUGUUCCAAAUUUGAUAAAGUUCAUUGAUUUUAACGUUAUGUAUUAGGGGUUAACACAAUAUCACACUGAUCGAUAAUUUGGGACAGAUAUUUAGCCGAUAAUCAUUAUCUGCGUUUUAUUUUAAUGAUCUCCAAUGAAACCGAUGAAUUGAAAAGUAUAAAGAAAGUCGCA